GGUGACAUGGUCGAGUGGUAAGGUUGGGGACUACAAAUUCCUUAUUCCCUAGUUCAAAUCCAGGUGUCACCU
Non-coding RNA from Gossypium hirsutum (cotton), 72 nucleotides. The record is from Rfam. Lineage: Eukaryota; Viridiplantae; Streptophyta; Magnoliopsida; Malvales; Malvaceae.